AGUGAACGCUGGCGGCAGGCCUAAUACAUGCAAGUCGAACGGCAGCACAGCAGAGCUUGCUCUGUGGGUGGCGAGUGGCGGACGGGUGAGGAAUACGUGGGAAUCUGCCCAGUCGUGGGGGAUAACGUAGGGAAACUUACGCUAAUACCGCAUGCGCCCUUCGGGGAAAGCCGGGGACCUUCGGGCCUGGCGCGAUUGGAUGAGCCCACGUCGGAUUAGCUAGUUGGCGGGGUAAAGGCCCACCAAGGCGACGAUCCGUAGCUGGUCUGAGAGGAUGAUCAGCCACACUGGAACUGAGACACGGUCCAGACUCCUACGGGAGGCAGCAGUAGGGAAUAUUGGACAAAUGGGGCGCAAAGCCUGAUCCAGCCAUGCCGCGUGAGUGAAGAAAGGCCCUCGGGUUGUAAAGCUCUUUUGUCCGGAAAGAAAAGCGCCGGGUUAAUACCCUGGUGUCCUGACGGUAACCGGAAGAAUAAGCACCGG
This 483-nucleotide ribosomal RNA is filed under the name uncultured bacterium. RNAcentral describes it as "bacterial SSU rRNA". It matches the Rfam family "Bacterial small subunit ribosomal RNA", at positions 29 to 496 of the family's 1533-position model. The record is from RNAcentral.